AAGCAAGAGUCAAUUCCCAUCAAAUAUGUAACUCUUUCCCUGCUAACUGCAUCCCGCGUCCUUGUUAUUACUUCGUUUCUCUUUUAUAGGAAAAAACCAUGAUUGAAACUCCAUAUAUGCAAAGUACUCUCAGAAAUAGCUUUGUCAAGAUUCAGGAAUUUCAGCGAACCCUAAACCGAAACUAUUGAGCCUAAAUCUCGAUUUAUUUCCGCCAAUCAAUUAGCCGCUAACAUUUCCCGUGAAAAUAAGUUCACUCAAAUUGAGAUAAACAAGAAUAGUAGAGCAUUACAACCCUGGAUGAUCGCAUAUAUAAAAAAACGUACAUGUACGACAAGAGACAGAGAACUUACGAUCUCGUCCACCGCGAACGCCACCUCUGGUAGGAUGAUACAUAAUUUCCUCGGAAGUCUUUCAAGGAUGUAGGACGAGGAAGGAAGGAUGUAGGACGAGGAAAACCGGAUUAUAGUCUCGAAUCUAGAGUAAAACUCAAAGAAAGAAGUUAGACCUUGGAAUUGACUUGGUAUUUAGGAGAAAAAACCUCCGAAACCUUUGCCAAAUUGCAAAAGUAGUCCUUAUUUUUUAUUAUUUACAAAUGUGUCUUUAAAUC
Molecule: long non-coding RNA, 607 nt
Filed under: Carica papaya (papaya)
Lineage: Eukaryota; Viridiplantae; Streptophyta; Magnoliopsida; Brassicales; Caricaceae
Description: long non-coding RNA (CPAP_LNC008548)
Source: RNAcentral